UACAGAGGGGGCAAGCGUUGUUCGGAAUUACUGGGCGUAAAGGGCGCGUAGGCGGCCUGCUAAGUCGAACGUGAAAUCCCUGGGCUCAACCCAGGAACUGCGUCCGAUACUGGUUGGCUUGAAUCCGGGAGAGGGACGUGGAAUUCCAGGUGUAGCGGUGAAAUGCGUAGAUAUCUGGAGGAACACCGGUGGCGAAGGCGGCAUCCUGGACCGGCAUUGACGCUGAUGAGCGAAAGCUAGGGGAGCAAACGGG
Molecule: ribosomal RNA, 253 nt
Filed under: uncultured bacterium
Lineage: Bacteria
Description: partial 16S ribosomal RNA
Rfam family: Bacterial small subunit ribosomal RNA
Source: RNAcentral